RNAcentral lists this transfer RNA (85 nucleotides) under Felis catus (domestic cat). It matches the Rfam family "tRNA". Rfam says of the family: Transfer RNA (tRNA) molecules are approximately 80 nucleotides in length. Their secondary structure includes four short double-helical elements and three loops (D, anti-codon, and T loops). Lineage: Eukaryota; Metazoa; Chordata; Mammalia; Carnivora; Felidae. RNAcentral also lists the same sequence under 1 other name. The record is from Rfam by way of RNAcentral.
GCCUGGGUGGCUCAGUCGGUUGAGCAUCUGACUUCAGCUCAGGUCAUGAUCUCACAGUUUGUGGGUUCAAGCCCUGUGUCGGGCU